GCUUUAGCUCAGUUGGUAGAGCAUGAGAUUCUUUAAUCUCAAGGUCGUGGGUUCGAGCCCCAAGUUGGGCA
Molecule: non-coding RNA, 71 nt
Organism: Podarcis lilfordi (Lilford's wall lizard)
Lineage: Eukaryota; Metazoa; Chordata; Lepidosauria; Squamata; Lacertidae
Source: the annotation of a GenBank genome assembly